AUUGAACGCUGGCGGCAGGCCUUACACAUGCAAGUCGAACGGCAGAACGGGGCUAGCCCCUGUAUUGAGCGGCGGACGGGUGAGUAAUGCCUAGGAACCUGCCUGGUCGUGGGGGAUAACGUCCGGAAACUUACGCUAAUACCGCAUACGUUCUGAGGGUGAAAGUGGGGGACCUUCGGACCUCGCGCGAUCAGAUGAGCCUAUGUCGGAUUAGCUAGUUGGUGGGGUAAAGGCCUACCAAGCCGACGAUCCGUAACUGGUCUGAGAGGACGAUCAGUCACACUGGAACUGAGACACGGUCCAGACUCCUACGGGAGGCAGCAGUGGGGAAUAUUGGACAAUGGGCGCAAGCCUGAUCCAGCCAUGCCGCGUGUAGGACGAAGGUCUUCGGAUUGUAAACUACUUUUAGUUGGGACGAAGGGCAGUAAGUUAAUACCUUGCUGUUAUGACGUUACCAAAAGAAUAAGCACCGGCUAACUUCGUG
This 484-nucleotide ribosomal RNA is filed under the name uncultured bacterium. RNAcentral's name for it is "partial 16S ribosomal RNA". It matches the Rfam family "Bacterial small subunit ribosomal RNA", at positions 30 to 507 of the family's 1533-position model. The record is from RNAcentral.